This 576-nucleotide ribosomal RNA is filed under the name Triticum aestivum (bread wheat). Its description in RNAcentral is "partial small subunit ribosomal RNA". The record is from RNAcentral. Lineage: Eukaryota; Viridiplantae; Streptophyta; Magnoliopsida; Poales; Poaceae.
AUGGCUUAUUCUACCAUGUUUUUUAUGUUGGGCCUGACAAAUUUGUUGGGAAUCCAUGCCACCAGUAUCCAAGGAAUUUUCAGGUUUAUCUACACUCUUCUCAGCCUGGGGAUCAUCAUGUGCUUGCUGACCUGCUCUGGCCAUAUCGCCGCUGAAACGGCAAACAGCCCCUGCCUGUCUUGUCACAUGAUCUUUGUAUUUUUGCUUGUUAUACUGGAGGCUGCAAUCGCCGCUGAUGUAUUUCUGAAUAGCUACUGGGAGGAGGAUUUCCCAGAUGACCCAUCCGGGAAGUUUGAUGAAUUCAAGCAUUUCGUGAGAUCAAAUUUUGACAUUUGUGAAUGGGUAGCCCUCUCGGUGGUGGCUGCUCAGGCGCUGUCAAUCAUUCUUGCGAUGGUACUCAGGGCCCUUGGCCCCGACAAUGAAAUCGAAUACGACAGUGACGAUGAUGCAGUGCCCGCAAGGCUGCCUCUCCUAAGGAACAAGCCCCAGCAUGGUCCAAACUAUGGUGAACCUAACUCACCUCGCAGGAUUGAUUCAUGGCAUGUGCGAAUCUUAGACAAGGCCAACCAACAAUAA